AAAAGAACCUGAAACCGUGUACGUACAAGCAGUGGGAGCCCCACCACUAAGCCAGUGGUGAACUCCACAUACGCAUCCUUUGCUGAGGAUACGGUUAACGGAGCGAAAGCGACGUUCAACCGCAAAACAAGCAGAGGGGGCUUAGUGGUGGGGUGACUGCGUACCUUUUGUAUAAUGGGUCAGCGACUUAUAUUCUGUAGCAAGGUUAACCGAAUAGGGGAGCCGGAGGGAAACCGAGUCUUAAUUGGGCGUUAAGUUGCAGGGUAUAGACCCGAAACCCGGUGAUCUAGCCAUGGGCAGGUUGAAGGUUGGGUAACACUAACUGGAGGACCGAACCGACUAAUGUUGAAAAA
Molecule: ribosomal RNA, 353 nt
Filed under: Salmonella enterica subsp. enterica serovar Anatum
Lineage: Bacteria; Pseudomonadati; Pseudomonadota; Gammaproteobacteria; Enterobacterales; Enterobacteriaceae
Description: partial 23S ribosomal RNA
Rfam family: Bacterial large subunit ribosomal RNA
Source: RNAcentral